GUUGAAAGGAAACACAGAACCCUUCUUGAGACUUGUAGGGCUUUACUUUUUCAGUCUGGGUUACCUACUUCUUUCUGGGGGGAUUAUUUACUCAUUGCUACAUACCUGAUUAAUAGAAUACCUACAGAUUGUUACAUAACAAAUCCCCUCAUGAAUUGUUGUAUGGGAAACCUCCUACUUUUCUUCAUUAAAGGGCUUUUGGCUGCCUUGCUUAUGCCAUUGUUCCAAUCCCUCAAAGGGACAAAUUGAAGCCUAGAGCUAUCCCUUGUGUUUUCUUGGGGUAUCCUUUUGGCAAAAAGGGUUACAAAUUUUAUGAUCUUAAUUCCAAGAAAUAUCUGGUCUCCAGAGAUGUCAUAUUUCAUGAAUCAUGUUUUCCUUUUAAGUCUUCAUCUCCUGCUGUUUCACCUUCUGUCUCCUCAUUCCCUUCUGUUCCUUCUGGAGAAGAUGAUGAUUUGACUGAUUCUCCCUUGCCUACUGUUUCUUCCUUGCCUUCUGGAGAAAAUGAUGAUCUCCCUGAUUCUCCCUCCUCUGUCCCUCCACCUUCUUUUGAUCCUAUUCUUCCUUCACCUCCUAUUUUGCCUUCCUCUCCUUCUGCUCCUGUUUUCAGAAAAUCUACCAGGACACAUAAUCCUCCCUCCUAUCUUAAGGACUAUGUCUGCCAACUCCCUGCCUUCUCUGGCUCUUCUUCCUCCUCUUUGGAAUCUGAACCACUGUAUUACUCUCAGGCAGCUUCAGUUCCAGCUUGGCAUGAUGAUUUGACUGAUUCUCCCUUGCCUACUGUUUCUUCCUUGCCUUCUGGAGAAAAUGAUGAUCUCCCUGAUUCUCCCUCCUCUGUCCCUCCACCUUCUUUUGAUCCUAUUCUUCCUUCACCUCCCAUUUUGCCUUCCUCUCCUUCUGCUCCUGUUUUCAGAAAAUCUACCAGGACACAUAAUCCUCCCUCCUAUCUUAAGGACUAUGUCUGCCAAAUCCCUGCCUUCUCUGGCUCUUCUUCCUCCUCUUUGGAAUCUGAACCACUGUAUUACUCUCAGGCAGCUUUAGUUCCAGCUUGGCAGGAUGCCAUGAGAAAGGAGUUUGCGGCCUUGGACACCAACCAAACUUGGGAUGUUGUUCACCUUCUUCCUGGUAAGAAACCAAUUGGUUGCAAGUGGGUUUAUAAAAUCAAGUACAAGACUGAUGGGUCUAUUGAAAGGUAUAAGGCCAGACUUGUUAUUAGGGGGGAUACUCAAGUUGAGGGGGUUGAUUUCACAGAAACUUUUUCUCCUGUGGUCAAAAUGUGUACUGUUAAAUGUUUGAUUGCUGUUGCUGUGAAAAAGAAUUGGAAUCUGUUUCAACNNN
This 1335-nucleotide long non-coding RNA is filed under the name Nicotiana benthamiana. RNAcentral describes it as "long non-coding RNA (NBEN_LNC038392)". The record is from RNAcentral. Lineage: Eukaryota; Viridiplantae; Streptophyta; Magnoliopsida; Solanales; Solanaceae.